UAACCCCUAAUUCACUCUCGAAUUGGGUUUGAUCGUGGAGAAUGGCUGUGUUAUGAUGUACGGGAACACUUUUUUGCGUUUUAAGGGUGGUUGUUUAGGUUCUGUUUGUGAUUUGCUAUUACAAUCUAUCAAUCGAUAUAAUGAUAUCAUAUGCUUUGUGGAGAAAACUUCACAGGUCAACAAAUAUAAAACUGGAUUAAGUAUCUUAAAGUUUUAUUAAACGAGCCGCUUAUGUAGGUGUGUGAAAGUGGUUUAUUGGGGGUGGAGAUUAGCCGGUCAGAGGCAAAAUUGCACAUUUUUAUGGCCAACAGAAUUAUUCAUAGGUGAAUUAAUAAAAUAAGAGCACCACAUCAGCUAGGGCCAGUAUUGCAUCUUGGAUUAACAAGCGAACGGCUGAACACCAUGAGGUUUUAUCACAGGACUACGAAACUACUUCCAAAUGCACAUCAACAGUUUUGAAAUGGGCGUCUGCACAGAUUUCCAGCUGCGUGUCGGGACUGGCUGCACGCGCCCAAAGGCGCCACCACUGCUGCUCAGUCAGCAGCUCCCCCUGAAUUCACACUGAAGGAUCAGAGUACCCACCCACCAGGUACCAGAGUAUGACAGGAUCUUCCCACUCAUCAGAAACCUGUUGAAAGGCAGACUGAACGGCACUGAUGAGCUUAAUGCAAUAAUCAACCAGGCUAGGUGAAGCAACCAGCAAGGGAACUGCUUCCACCCACCUCGAGAAUUUGUCCACAAUGACAAGUACAUCUGAAUAACCGUGACUUUUCGGCAGAGUGAUGUAGUCCACUUGGAGAUGGAGAAAGGGACCAGGUGGAGCAGCCGCCACUAGAGCUGGUGUCGGUGUUCCUGGACCUGCAUUAUUCUUCUGACAGCACUGCUUCACCUGCUGUCUUGAGAAAGCUCCUCUGGAAGGUAGCAGUGUUCAGAAACAGCGGACACAGAUGAAGGAGGGUCAAGCGUGUGCAGGCGGGGUGUUCCUCCUGGUCACUAACACGCCUGCGGGAAGAUGGAUAUCUUAGAUGGAGCCACUAAUUCCUACUGAGAUUGUUUUUGAUAAGUGGAGAUAGGAGAGAUCACACUUGAAUAAAUGUGCCCUUUUUUAGAGUUCAAGGGGACUCUGCCCUGUAUUUUGAAUAUCUUAACUAAUAAGUUCAGUGAGAGUAAGUAGGAUAGGAAUGUGGACAUACAGGAAUCAGUCCAGUGAAAGCGGACUGUUUACAGCUUGAGCUAUGACCUUUCAAACAAAUCACAGGUACUGUGAAGAUUAGUCCUCACUGUGAUAUUGUGUGUGACAAAGUGAGAGUGUUUCCCCUAGCAGAUCUAGCCCUCAGCUUGGCCAUGCUGGUGCUGCACUUUCUGAUUGGUCAGAUACCCUGUUGUAUUUAUUUAUAGAUUACCCUAAAUAAAUGUAUGUUCAGUUCUAGAUUAAAAUCUUUAUAGAGAUAUUUUUGGUAAACACACAAGUGCAAUUGUGUAUCGCUAUUUUGUUGGGCAUUUGUCCAGUGGGACCUAAAGAAUUCAGUACGAAAUGAAAGUGCUUAGCGUUUAUCCAUCCAUCCAUCCCUCCAUCCAUCCAUCCAUCCAUCCAUCCAUCCAUCUUUAUCUCUCUGUUAGAUUCUGCAGUACAGUGUCAUAUUUAGCCCAGAGUCAGUCCCAGGAAGCACAUGCAACACCCUAGAAAUAAUAAAAAGCAUUUUCUUGAGUUAGUAAUUUUGUGUAAGAUGGAUGGAUAAAUUCAGCUAUGAAAAGCUUUUUUUUUUUGAUAUUAUAAAUAUUUUAUUUGUUGCGGACUCCCUUUACAAUUUCAUUUCACUUUGUAAUUUUAGGUUGUGUUUUUGUUAGUUAUUUGUUUUUAUUUAUUAAAGUGAACAUGUGUGAUUAUCAUUU
Paramormyrops kingsleyae is the source of this 1893-nucleotide non-coding RNA. NCBI's taxonomy places the organism in Eukaryota, Metazoa, Chordata, Actinopteri, Osteoglossiformes, Mormyridae. The record is from RefSeq and is a predicted model, not a curated record.